UACGGGGGGGGCAAGCGUUGUUCGGAAUUACUGGGCGUAAAGGGCUCGUAGGUGGCCAACUAAGUCGGACGUGAAAUCCCUCGGCUUAACCGGGGAACUGCGUCCGAUACUGGUUGGCUUGAGUUUGGGAGAGGGAUGCGGAAUUCCAGGUGUAGCGGUGAAAUGCGCAGAUAUCAGGAAGAACACCCGUGGCGAAGGCGGCUCUCUGGGACGGUACUGACGCUGAGACGCGAAAGCGUGAGGAGCGAACAGG
This 253-nucleotide ribosomal RNA is filed under the name uncultured bacterium. RNAcentral's name for it is "partial 16S ribosomal RNA". It matches the Rfam family "Bacterial small subunit ribosomal RNA", at positions 524 to 776 of the family's 1533-position model. The record is from RNAcentral.